This 371-nucleotide ribosomal RNA is filed under the name uncultured bacterium. Its description in RNAcentral is "bacterial SSU rRNA". It matches the Rfam family "Bacterial small subunit ribosomal RNA", at positions 527 to 896 of the family's 1533-position model. The record is from RNAcentral.
AGAGGUGGCGAGCGUUGUUCGGAUUUAUUGGGCGUAAAGCGAACGCAGGUGGUUUGGUAAGUCAGGGGUGAAAGACCACAGCUUAACUGUGGCACUGCCUUUGAUACUGCCUUUCUAGAGUGCAUGAGGAGGAAGCGGAAUUCCGAGUGUAGAGGUGAAAUUCGUAGAUAUUCGGAGGAACACCGGUGGCGAAGGCGGCUUCCUGGCAUGUAACUGACACUCAUGUUCGAAAGCGUGGGUAGCAAACAGGAUUAGAUACCCUGGUAGUCCACGCCCUAAACGAUGGGCACUAGGUGUGGGAGGUAUCGACCCCUUCCGUGCCGCAGCUAACGCAUUAAGUGCCCCGCCUGGGGAGUACGGCCGCAAGGUUG